RNAcentral lists this transfer RNA (85 nucleotides) under Jakoba bahamiensis. RNAcentral describes it as "tRNA-Leu". It matches the Rfam family "tRNA". From Rfam's summary of the family: Transfer RNA (tRNA) molecules are approximately 80 nucleotides in length. Their secondary structure includes four short double-helical elements and three loops (D, anti-codon, and T loops). Lineage: Eukaryota; Jakobea; Jakobida; Jakobidae. The record is from RNAcentral.
ACGGACAUGGUGAAAUUUGGUAGACACGUCAGAUUUAGGGUUUGAUGAAAAUAAUUUUGUGAGGGUUCAAGUCCCUCUGUCCGUA